GUGCUUGCUUUGGCAGCACAUACACUAAAACUGGAACCAUACAGAGAACAUUAUCAUGGUCCCUGCUUAAGGUUGGCAAACAAAUUCAUGAAGUGUUCUAGAUAUUA
Acomys russatus (golden spiny mouse) is the source of this 107-nucleotide small nuclear RNA. NCBI's taxonomy places the organism in Eukaryota, Metazoa, Chordata, Mammalia, Rodentia, Muridae. The record is from RefSeq and is a predicted model, not a curated record.